ACUCCUACGGGAGGCAGCAGUGGGGAAUAUUGCACAAUGGGCGAAAGCCUGAUGCAGCAACGCCGCGUGCGGGAUGACGGCCUUCGGGUUGUAAACCGCUUUCAACGCAGACGAAGCGAAAGUGACGGUAUGCGUAGAAGAAGCACUGGCCAACUACGUGCCAGCAGCCGCGGUAAU
Molecule: ribosomal RNA, 177 nt
Filed under: uncultured Luteococcus sp.
Lineage: Bacteria; Bacillati; Actinomycetota; Actinomycetes; Propionibacteriales; Propionibacteriaceae
Description: partial 16S ribosomal RNA
Rfam family: Bacterial small subunit ribosomal RNA
Source: RNAcentral